Long non-coding RNA from Pseudophryne corroboree (corroboree frog), 1053 nucleotides. RefSeq lists it as uncharacterized. The transcript is spliced from 3 exons. The record is from RefSeq and is a predicted model, not a curated record. NCBI's taxonomy places the organism in Eukaryota, Metazoa, Chordata, Amphibia, Anura, Myobatrachidae.
CCUCCCUCUUCCAGCCCUGAGCAAUGAGCACACCCGGAAAUACAAGGGCCUUUAACUCCUGCACUGCCUGCCCUGGCCAGUCCCCCCUCCCCGCUCUGUGCCACAGUCCAGCCAAGAGGUAAUCCCAUUAACCCCAGCACACCCUGGUCUCAGAACAAGGCAAAUGGAAUCCUGCAUUACCUUCCAGUCAGAACACUAGUGCCUGUAUAAUAUUCACUCCCAGAGCGUACCAUGCUGGGACAACUACACCUACAGUACAAGCAACACUGAAGCCAGACAGUUCUGCAAAAGCUAACUUCCACCAGGCUACUGGUAAAUGGCAACAAAAUAUAAAACAUCUCAAGUUUCGUCAAGAGUGUGGAAGAUAAUCGGAGCACCCAGAGGAAAGUUAUGCAAGCACAGAGAGAACAUACAAACCCCACACAAAAAAUCUGCCUAGCAUCACAACGGUCCUGGAAAUGAUAAUGCAGUUUUGGCAACUGUGGAAAUGGGCAACAUAAUCAAAUAUUUACAGUACUUAUUUUUACAUUGUUGUGUUCUGUAGGGUUUCCUGAGGAGGUAAACAGUGUUAAGCUGGGUAUACAUUAGAUGAUGUGUACCCAGCACGUCAUCACGGGGGAGACAGGACCGGACGGGAGAACCGGCAUCAACAAAUGCAUACACACUUGCCGAUGCUGGCAGCAACGGUGGUGGACAUGCUACAUUCUGCAGCAUGGACCUGACUAGCGAUACUGCAAGACUGAGCUACAUGCAGGUCCAACGGGCGAUGUCGCUGACGACCCGCGGGAGCGCACAUCGUCAGCAACAUAAAGGGUAAACACUGGACGAUUUAAACAAUUUGUCAUUACGAUCUGUCGGAAUCUGGAAAAUCGUUUAAAAAAAACGUGUAAUGUGUACCCAGCUUUACUCUCACUUCUUCAUAAUAAUUCUGUAAUUGGGCGCUGCGUAACCCUUGUGGCGCCAUAUAAAUAGUAGUGAUGAGCGGAUUCGGUUUUACUCGGUUUUACUCGGUUCUCAAAACCGAAUCUUAUUGGCUCACUGAUGUCACGUGUU